AGGUGGAAUAUCACAAAUAAGUCCCAGUGCGAAUACGUCAAUUUAAUGGUCAGAUAUGUACACCAAAAUGAAGCAUAUCACAGGCAGACAGCAGUAAGGUUUCAAUGUUCUGUUCCAAGUACCAGCUGAGAUUUUCAUCUAACACAGAAAACAGCAGAAAAAACUCCCGAUCCACAUCUUUCUGCAAGAGAUGAAAACAGGGGGCCUAUGAGACCAGAGUUGGUGUCUCUGACUGGAUCACUGGAGGAGAAGUACAGGUAGGAAAUACAGGGUGGGUCACUUUCAGAUGGUCCCUCCUUCAACAGCCACCUGUAUGUGAAUGUUUCACCUGGCUGAACCUGAUAUCCUUUCCUCUUUAUACCUACAAUACAUUAAGACAUUAUUUUACUGGGACAAAAACAAACUUUUUGAUUGACACAUUAUUAGCCAGAUGGUGUGAAAUAAGUCUCACCAUCUUGAUAAAAGACACCCUCAAAUGGUUUGUCAUACUGAAGACCAUGUGGCUGGAUACUGUAGAUUCUGUCAGCCUUAUUCAUAAACAUCACCUGAAGGGUGUCUCCAACCUCGGCCCUCAGAACUGGACCUACAGACACCAUGAUGUAAAUGGGAUAGACAGGUUUAGAUCAAAUUCAAGAAACUUUUUAUCUAACCUAGGUUGUAUAAUUAUUUAAAUCCACAUGAAGAAGCUUACCCAAAAUGCCUAGAUGUGUCUCGGCACUGGUUUGCUUUCUCUUUAAAGUGAAACUCUCAUCUGUAUAUUCUUUGUACACCACUUUCCAAUACUUUCCACCAAGUCGGCCACGAUCCAUCCCGAAGAACACCUCUGAAAAGCUAAGUAUGACCAAGAAUUUGUCAAAAAACAAAAACUUGCAUAAACUAAUUGCAGUGCAUGUCUGAAUUAUAAUCAGAUAUUUAACCUCCCAGGUUUGGUCAGCGACUCAUUGGUCAGUUUAUCCAUCCCUGAUGGACGAGACUUUGAACAGGGCCUGCAUACCAGCUGUGGAAGACAACAUGGAAGAGCCCUGUAACCUUCUGUAGACAGCAUGUAAAGCUUAAUAUCAAACGAAG
Non-coding RNA from Pimephales promelas (fathead minnow), 1068 nucleotides. Lineage: Eukaryota; Metazoa; Chordata; Actinopteri; Cypriniformes; Leuciscidae. The record is from RefSeq and is a predicted model, not a curated record.